RNAcentral lists this small nucleolar RNA (112 nucleotides) under Dacryopinax primogenitus. The record is from RNAcentral. Lineage: Eukaryota; Fungi; Basidiomycota; Dacrymycetes; Dacrymycetales; Dacrymycetaceae.
UCCGGAUGAACACCUUAGAUGACGAGUCCGACGUCGCACACGCACGGUCGGUCAUCGACUGUGCGGACGUUUGACGAGACUCUUUUCAAAUACCAUUCAUGCUUUUCUGAUC